GUACACUCCUGCGGGAGGCAGCAGUGGGGAAUUUUGGACAAUGGGGGCAACCCUGAUCCAGCAAUGCCGCGUGAGUGAAGAAGGCCUUCGGGUUGUAAAGCUCUUUUGUCAGGGAAGAAACGGUGGUGGCGAAUAACUACUACUAAUGACGGUACCUGAAGAAUAAGCACCGGCUAACUACGUGCCAGCAGCCGCGGUAAUACGUAGGGUGCAAGCGUUAAUCGGAAUUACUGGGCGUAAAGCGUGCGCAGGCGGUUGUGUAAGUCAGAUGUGAAAUCCCCGGGCUCAACCUGGGAAUUGCAUUUGAGACUGCACGGCUAGAGUGUGUCAGAGGGGGGUAGAAUUCCACGUGUAGCAGUGAAAUGCGUAGAUAUGUGGAGGAAUACCGAUGGCGAAGGCAGCCCCCUGGGAUAACACUGACGCUCAUGCACGAAAGCGUGGGGAGCAAACAGGAUUAGAAACCCUUGUAGUCCCAUGAU
This 479-nucleotide ribosomal RNA is filed under the name uncultured organism. RNAcentral's name for it is "partial 16S ribosomal RNA". It matches the Rfam family "Bacterial small subunit ribosomal RNA", at positions 331 to 801 of the family's 1533-position model. The record is from RNAcentral.